Molecule: ribosomal RNA, 351 nt
Filed under: Hyperolius pardalis
Lineage: Eukaryota; Metazoa; Chordata; Amphibia; Anura; Hyperoliidae
Description: partial 12S ribosomal RNA
Rfam family: Bacterial small subunit ribosomal RNA
Source: RNAcentral
AAAACGCCAAAGAACUACGAACGCAAGUUUAAAACUUAAAGGACUUGACGGUGUCCCAUCUACCUAGAGGAGCCUGUUCUGUAAUUGAUAAUCCUCGUUAUACCUCACCUUUUUUAGCUCAUCAGCUUGUAUACUUCCGUCGUAAGCUUACCAUAUGAAUGCAUAAGUAAGCCAAAUAGUUAGAACGUCAGGUCAAAGUGCAGCCACCAAAAAGGAAAGAAAUGGGCUAUAAUUUCUACUAAAGAACAUACGAACUAUUGAAAAAUAUAUGAAGGUGGAUUUAGAAGUAAAGUAAAAAUAAAGUGUUUCUUUAACAAUGCUCUGGGACGUGUACACACCGCCCGUCACCCU